GGGCAGCGUAGCUCAGCGGCAGAGCAGGGGACUCAUAAUCCCUUGGUCGGAGGUUCGAAUCCUCCCGGGCCCACCA
RNAcentral lists this transfer RNA (76 nucleotides) under Dehalococcoidia bacterium. Its description in RNAcentral is "tRNA-Met". It matches the Rfam family "tRNA". Rfam says of the family: Transfer RNA (tRNA) molecules are approximately 80 nucleotides in length. Their secondary structure includes four short double-helical elements and three loops (D, anti-codon, and T loops). Further hydrogen bonds mediate the characteristic L-shaped molecular structure. tRNAs have two regions of fundamental functional importance: the anti-codon, which is responsible for specific mRNA codon recognition, and the 3' end, to which the tRNAs corresponding amino acid is attached (by aminoacyl-tRNA synthetases). tRNAs cope with the degeneracy of the genetic code in two manners: having more than one tRNA (with a specific anti-codon) for a particular amino acid; and 'wobble' base-pairing, i.e. permitting non-standard base-pairing at the 3rd anti-codon position. Lineage: Bacteria; Bacillati; Chloroflexota; Dehalococcoidia. The record is from RNAcentral.